AAAAAAAAAUACUCGUUGUAUAACCCGGAAUUGCCGUGUGCUUGUGGCAUAGGAUCGGCUCAUCUUGGAACAUUCAUAGCUUGAUAUUGAUAUUGAGUGUGUGCCCCGUAUAAUGUUGGCAAGGAUGAAUUCGUCAUUGUCAUUGUCAUCCUACGACUACGACUGAGUGUGGGGAGGGAACAACUACUUAGUGUGGGAACUUAGGUAAAUGGGCAUGCAGUCCUUGAAAAGGCACCGUUUACAGUUAAAAAUGGUUACAUGUUAGUAAUAAAACGUAGGUGGACCGAGAAACGUAUCGGCGAGAAAUUGACGGAGCAACAGAGGAGGUAGGGGGAAAAAAUAAACAGAGAAGGAAGGGCAAGACUUUGCUUUGAGAUUCGUUUCCUCCAGGUGUCGCUCUCAGGAUAAAGAGGACCGUUCCUGUAUAAUCUCCUUCCCCUGCAUUCGGCCUUCAGCUCGCCCCUGCGCUUUUAACUCGCAAGUCGCAACGCCAGACUCGCAUCCGUCGCCGCCACAUCCUCCCUCUCCCCGCCGGCACCGGAUCCUCCAUCCGCCGCUGCUCUUUCUUUCUAGCCGCGAGGUGGAGGGAUCCAUCCGGGCUCAUUCCUUCCCGCGCAGGUGAGUAAAUCCCUUCCCUUCCUCGCUUGGAUGGAUUCUUUCGUUCCUACGGUUGGUUCUCGUUGUCAAGCGAGCCGAGAUUCUUCAUCCUCUCUGUUCCUCUCCAUUCGUGUAGCUGUUGAUUCGCGUGCUGCAUGGUACCCUACUAACCAAAUCCAUCCACCCCACCAUUCAACGGUUCGAUUUGGUUCUUUUCCUUCACUGCGCAAGGUCGACAUUGCCAGACAUCAUAGUGUUCCUGGCGAAUUAGGUGCGGGCGCAGUUUGCUUUCCAAAGAUUUUAGGGGGCAUAGCGAAGUCCGUCCCUGCCGCUAAACGGAUGAUCCUGCAUUGCAUGGACACCGUGCCCUUGCCAAAUGUUUUCUUCUCGUAUGUGUGUUAUGGCAGUUUCCUUUCCAUUUGGGAAGAGGAACAUAAAGUACUCUAGCAAUCCCAUGAGAAAAGUUUCGCUAAUGUUUAUAAUGUUUGUCCAGUGUUUGCCACUGUGUGUAGAAUAUAUUCAAAUAGUGAAAGAUGUAUAAACUGGCGAUGUGGUAGAUUGCUAAUAACAAUUAUUGUAGCAGACAAGUUAUACCACGCAGUAUUAGCAGUACAUAGUUUUGCUGCUUUAGAAAUAGAGAUGUUUAUAUAGUGCAUCCAGACGGUACUAUUCAGGGUUUUCUUGGAUUAAAAUAUUAAUCAACUACGUUUAGGCCCCAUUUAAUUGAUCGAGAAUAGGCCAUUAUCAUUUACAUUGUUUUUCACUUUCUUUUCCAGUAUAAGCACACAUAUUUGUUUUCUUCAGGUCAUAUCUGUGUCUGCUUGUUUCAUGAUUGGUCUCAUGGAAGACCAUUCACCAUGGGAUUAUCUUUCAGUUGAUCAGAUUAGAACUCCUGCAUUCAACUCUGGAGUUGUUUCUGAAGCAAGCAACGGAGGCAAAGAGUUCUCAGUUUCAUUGGACGCUGUCGUUCCUGAUGAUAUACUGGAGAGGAUUUUCACAUUCUUGCCUAUAGCAAGCAUGAUAAGGGCAACAGCAGUAUGCAAGAGAUGGUACGGCAUUAUCUAUUCAAGCAGAUUUCUUUGGACCCACAUGAUGCCUCAACGGCCAUGGUACUUCAUGUUUACCUCUAAUGAAACUGCUGCCGGUUAUGCUUUUGACCCCAUCCUUCGUAAGUGGUAUGAUUUAGAGCUUCCUUAUAUUGACAAGAGCAGCUGUUUUGUCUCUUCUUCUUGUGGCCUAGUUUGCUUCAUGGACAAUGACAACAGGAACUCCAUUUCUGUAUCUAACCCUAUCACAAAAAACUCCAAGAGGCUUUUGGAGCCUCCCGGUGAAACAUUGCCAGACUACAGUACCAUUGCCAUGAAAGUAGAUCGGUUGUCUCAUAAGUACUCCAUUACAGUGGCAAAAUCCAAGCAAAUUCCUGAAGAUUUUGUCCGAUGGGAAUUUUCAGUAUACAAGUAUGAUUCUUGGAGUGGUACAUGGGUAACUUCUGCGAGUGAAGUGUUCAUUGGUUGGAGAGGGGGUGAUGAUAGUGUCAUAUGCGACGGAGUCCUGUACUGCUUAAUUCACUCCACUGGUGUCCUUGGCAAUGUCAACCCUCGUCAUGGCCUUAUCAUGUAUGACCUUGUUGGUGGACCUUCGAAGACUUCUUUAGUGCAAACAUCAAUCCCGGUACCAUGUUCUCUCACAUGUGGCCGUCUGGUAAACUUGAAGGAGAAGCUGGUUUUGGUUGGCGGAAUUGCAAAACACAACAGACCUGAUAUCAUUAAAGGAAUAGGAAUAUGGGAACUCCAUGAGAAACAGUGGCAUGAGGUAACUCGGAUGCCCCACAAAUUCUUCCAAGGAUUUGGUGAAUUCGAUGAUGUUUUUGCCUGCAGUGGCACAGAUGACCUUGUCUAUAUACAAAGCUAUGGUGCAACUGCUUUGCUUGUUUUUGACAUGAUGCAUAAGCAAUGGAAGUGGUCGGUGAAAUGUCCUGUGAGCAAAAGAUUUCCUCUCCAGCUUUUCACUGGAUUUUGCUUUGAGCCCCGUCUUGAUAUCACUGCUUAAUAUGUACCAGUUCAUCUUUUUUGCUUUUAGUGGAAUCAGAUCAGCUACUAUGUUAAUUGUUAUUCAUGAUAAUCCAUGCAAGUUUUGUCGCAUUCUUUCAACCAUUUUGCUGUUAUCCUUUUCUCAGUUCUCAACACUGAUGGCCCCACAAUGGUCAUGCUGGAUGCAAUUAUUUGUUUCUAUUGACAUCAGCUUAAAAAUCUGUAGAGUGCUAUAUGUGCUGACUUGCGUAUCUUUGAAGAUGUACCUUUGUUUGCAAUAAAGUAUAUAUAUGUACUAUCUUUUUCAGAUUUGCCCAGUUAUGCCUUGAACUGUGUCGGCAACACCUGCAUAGUUUUAACUUGUUCCAUAUAAUUGAGCGACAGGUUACAGCAUGACCGGACAGAUAAAAAAAUUUGCAGUGCUCAGUGCUACAGAUAAUGUAACCUAUCUUUUUUUUUUGUUUGGUCUCUUGCUAUCCAAUAUGUUUUGAACCUUAUCCCAUAUAUGAUAGCUGAUAUUUGUCCCUUUUCGGUCUUAAUCGACAACUUCGACUGUUCACAUUUUGUUUCUUGUGAAACUGUUCAUCCACGCUGGUCCUACAUCUUCUGAGGCUGCUGCUGCUACGAACAGCUUGGGCCACUGGUCUCACCCAGCGCUUGAAAGUCGUUUCGCUGGGCACUGACCAGUGCCUUGCUCAUUUCUGUAGAAUCAUCAUGGGCAAAUCCAGGUUUCCUCUUGUGGGGGCUGGCUCAUCCUGUACUGUCUCUGAUGGUGCCCCCAUGAGUCUGCAGCACGGUGCAAACGAGCCAGAGGCGCCAUUGAUGAGGUUUCAACGCUUUGUUGCAGCUGCUGGUACUGUGUCCUGAGGCAUUGAUGGCUUAGCUGUAUCUGUGGUUCUCUCUGUGGUGUCUGUAUUUUUUUUCAUUUUCCUGCUUAUUUUUUUUGGAGAAGGAUCGUUCUCAGUAUGGUGUCGUGUGUUGGGUCCUUUUGUAGAUUUGUGUUUUACUCAAAUCGAGCCUUGUUUCCUUCACCACCAUCAUCUGAAACUUGUGAGUCUGAGAUGGCAUCCAUGCAGGGUUUCAUGUGUGUACUGUAUGGAGACAACUCCUGUCGUUUGCUGUUGGUUCCAGCUGUCAUGGAUGAGGCCUGGGGCCCUCCUCACCUGAAGCGAUUUUGGGUAUAAUCCUUGACUGUUAAUCUCUUUACUAUGUUGGUUUGGCCAAUAUGGAUUAGUGAUGGCGCCUGCUGGCUGAGCAGGGCAUGGAGAACGUGGCUGUACAGUGUGUUCAGCAACAGUUUCAGUCGUGAUAUUGUUUGUUAACAGGGAGCUCUUGCAGCCUGAAUAGUUCUAUGAUUGUUCUCAGUGAUAGUACACAGUAACACAGCGCGUUUUUCCUCACUGGAAUCGAUGAUACCAUUUCUCGAUAUUUAUUUGGAAACCUAAAGAAACUACAAAGAGAAAAUGGAUCAAGCAACAUGGCGUGGUUGAUUUCAUGGUUUGGAGUGCUAUAUCCCUAUCGAGCCCAACUCGAGAUAUGCCCUGACCAGUGGGCCGUUAGCAUGCUGCGGCCGGUUGGCCAGUAGAAAAUGGGCCCAACCCAGGAAAGGAGUACUACCUCCAUUGCAAAACAAUGGUGUAUAUCACCCUAACAAAAUAAAAAAAUAAUGGUGUAUAUCAAGACUCGGAAAAAAAUUUAAACUUCAUAAAUUUUGAUUGACUAAUAAUUACUCGGAUUACGUGCAUUUCUAACUAAAAAUAUGCAGCAAUAGAUUUGUAUUUCAAGUACCUUUCAACAAGACACUGGUUUGACAGAUUUUCUUUUCAUAGGGGUUUGUCAGAAGUUGAUAAUGUAUUACAAGAGGAACUGAUGAUUAAAAUAAAACAUAUUUCAAAAGAAUACCAAACAGGGAGGAUUCUCUGGUUCACGUCCCUCCCAAGCCCAGCAGGAACUUGUCUUACCCACCCGACCGUUGAUUGUGGUUUGACUAGUACAUUUCCCGGCCGGAGAGCUAACCUACAACUACGAGGAGAUACGCGCCUUGCGCGCUCGUCUUGCACCGCUGCGCGAGGGCUUGGCAGCUUGCGUCAUUAGCGGCCUAGCGGUGUCACUCGGGUGGGUGUUUGAUAUCGGUGCUAAAUUUUAGCACGUGUCACAUCGGAUGUUCGAAUGCUAAUUAGAAGGAUUAAAGAUGAGCUAAUUAUAAAACUAAUUGCAGAACUCCUAGGCUACUUCGCGAUACGAAUCUAUUAAAGCUAAUCAAUCCAUCAUUAGCAAAUGGUUACUGUAGCACCGCAUUGUCAAAUCAUGGACUAAUUAGGCUUAAUAGAUUCAUCUCGCGAAUUAGACUCCAUCCGUGCAAUUAGUUUUGUAAUUAGCUCAUAUUUAAUACUUCUACUUAGUAUCAAACAUUCGAUAUGACAUGUGCUAAACUUUAGCACCUGGGAGCCAAACACCCCGGAGAGUCAUGAAAUGCUCCUCGUUGCAUGGGGCUCGGGUCAGGGGCCGGUAGGCCACGAGCUUCGUGGUGACAACGUUUGUUUUUCUUUGUGCUUUCCUCGUGCACCGCGUGGGGUUCGAUUGGAUGCACGCGCCCAACUACAUUCCUAUGAUCUUCCCACCUCCCGCGCGGAUUUUGCUUUCGUUUCGUAUUGCGGUUUGAAUCAUCCUACGCUCUUGUGCAGCUCCUUUCCUCUUCACCCUCGGUGAUCUUCCUAUGUUUCUCCAAUUACCGUGGCUAAUAGGAUUUGACUAGCUUAUUAUAGAAAACAAGAUCCAAAAACCGGACUGCUUGAGGGGUGAAAAACCCAACCACAACUACAGCAAUUCGAUCAGGAUUAUAUCACUAAGCACAACUAAACUAUAGCGGCUGACAUUCUCAGGUCAGCUCCAAUGUAUAAAAAAUCAAACAAUGUUUGGUGCAAAUCGAUUUUACUACACUCCGACGGCUGACUGGUAGAUGUCAGAGUAAAAAUCGGAGUUCUAAUAGCAGUCGAACUGUGCGGCUUCCAGCUGAAUAAAAUACUCCUUGCCCAGGAAUACACAGGACAUAUGUGUCAGGCGUGUGUGCUGUUCCAAACACUCACCGUCAGCGUAGUCCAUUUUUUAUUGUUUCCUUUUGGCCAGCAAUCAAAUACGACACUACGGGCGUGUUUGGUGUCCUGCAGCUGCGUGAACUAGGCUCACCGCGUGCACCCUCCAUCUGUUAGGUUGUUAGGUUGCCUGGUCCCCCCGCGAGCCAGGUUGUGCGCGUGCAAAAGAACCCCCGCGGCCAGGCUCCGCGGAUAUGAGAGGAGCGGCCGUUUUCGCCGGGCCUGGUUCCCGUGGUGCGACGGCGGGCGCGUGGGAGGCGAAAAGUUGGCCGGCUGGAGCUCGCACCAUUUCGCUGGGGUUACCUCCCCCUUUCGCGCCACUCACCGCAGAUAUAUCCCCCUCCCCACCGCCUCCGCUCCCCCUCGGUCACCAUUCGUCUUCUUCGCUAGAUCUGAGGUGCUCCCCUCUCCUCUCUUCCUCUGGUUUUCAUUGAUUCGGUUCAUCGAUUCGCGUUGUAUUGAUCCCCUCCCUCCUUCGUUGCUUCCUAGGUGCUCUGGAUCUGAGUUCUUGCGCAGGUAAUCUGGUUCGCCUCCCCCUCCCGGCCCCGUGUUCUUGAUCUCCUAAUCCUAGAUGCAUCUCUCACUGGUUCUUGUUCAAAUCGAUGCAAGGAUCUCAGAUCUGUGUUCCCCACUUGGUUCGAAGGUACGAAUCCAUGUUCUUGGUUAGGGUUUUUUUUUCAUGUUUAUUUCUUUUAUUUUCCUAAGGUAUGAAUCCAUGUUGCUUAGGAUUCUAACGUAUGAAUCCAUGUUGAUGGUGCCAGGUUGCAGAUUUGCUGUCGGUUGUUUGUUCGUCUGCAUCAUUGUUUGGGUGCUUGCCGUCCUCGUUCGGUAUAAGCAAUCCUCCCCUCCCUCUCCACCUUUUCUGAUGAAUGCGGCUGGUAUCGAUGGUGAUUGUGUGCGCUACAGAUCUGAUAAUGCUAUUUUUUCUGAGCUUAUGUCCAAGUCAAUGAUGUUUUCUCUUUUAAUCUGAGCAUAUGUCCAUGCCAAUGCUGAUGCUUGUUUUAAUCUAAGCACUUGUUCAAUGCCAAUGAUGAUAUGCUAUUUUUAUCUGAGCACUUGUUCAAUGCCAAUGAUGUUGUCUCAUUUUCCCUUUAAUCUGAGCAUGUGUUGCAUGGCAAUGAUGUUUGUCACCGUAUUGUUGCUUUGGUAGUCAUGGUAAUUAUCUUGUUUGCUUAGAUAGCUUUGGAGGACCAGCAACGCUUGCUGUUUGCUCGAGCUGCUGCUCUUAUCACGGCUAUGUAUGCAUUCUUGUUCACCAGGAUAAGAAUGCAACAUAGUUCAAGGCUAUAGAUCAGUUAUGGCCCUUUGAGCGCCAUGGAUGAGGAACGCCAAAAAAACCUGGACAAAAUUUACAAUUGUACUGAUAUAGAGUGUGUUGCUAUGCUUCGCAUGAGAAAAGCACCUUUUUUUGCACUGUGCAACUUGCUUAGGGAAAGGCAUUUGCUGUCAGAUAGCCUUCAUAGUUGUGUUGAAGAGCAGCUAGCAAUGUUUCUACACAUUGUUGGCCACAACCAACGCUUUAGAGUUAUUCACCAACAUUGGAGAAUGUCAAUAGAAAUAGUGCAUAGAUAUUUCAAGGAGGUCUUGUAUGCUAUUGGGGAACUUAGGCAAGAAAUGAUUAGAGCUCCAUCUAAUGAGACACCAGUUAAGAUAAGCAAUAGCCCAAGAUGGUACCCAUAUUUCAAGGUAAUAAAUUUGUCAUGUAGUUUGUAGGUUAUUGCUGCACACUUGGGUGCAUAUCAUGUAACAUGCAUCUAUUGGGUUUUCAUGUAGGACUGUGUUGGGGCAAUAGAUGGGACUCAUGUAUAUGCUAGAGUGCCAGCCAAGAUCCAAGCAGCAUUUAGGGGAAGGAAGCACUACCCCACACAAAAUGUUCUUGCUGCUGUUGACUUUGAUCUGAAAUUUACUUAUGUCUUACCUGGUUGGGAAGGGUCUGCUCAUGAUGCUACUGUUCUUGCUGAUGCACUAGAGAGGGAGGAUGUGUUAAGGGUUCCACCAGGUAAUUAGCUGAAUUGGGUACCUAAAUAAAAAUUGUAACUUCGUAACAAUGGACUUAAUGCAUUUCUGUACUUGUUAUAGGAAAAUUCUACUUAGUAGAUGCUGGAUAUGCUUGUCGUCCUGGAUUCCUUCCUCCUUACCGUGGCACUAGGUACCAUCUGAAAGAGUAUGGUGCUAGGAACUACCCAACCAACCCAAGGGAGUUGUUUAAUUUGAGGCAUUCAAGUCUGAGAGUAUCUGUUGAAAGGGCUUUUGGUGCUUUGAAGAACCGUUUUCGCAUCAUUGAUAAUACACCAUUUCAUCCCUACAAGACACAAGUGAAGUUAGUACUUGCUUGCUACAUAUUGCAUAAUUGGAUACUUGGGCAUGGGGUUGAUGAGGUAGUUCCUACUGAGUUCUCAUGGGUGCCCAACAAUAAUGCUAGUCCUGGACAUGGGGUCCAGAUGGAUGACAAUGUUGUUUGGGCUCAAAGUAGGGAUGAAUGGGCUCAUCACAUGUGGUCCAAUAGGGGCAACUCUCACAUCUAAGAUGUAUCUGUUUUGUAUUCUAUGUAUGUUGAACAAUGUUGGUUAUUUAUAUUCUGAGGCAUUGAACAAUUGCAAUGAUGAUUUUACUUAUUUCAUUACACAAUAUAGCUAAGGUAUUGGACAUGUGCAAUGAUGUUACACCUCUUUUGAUACUACACUAGACCUGAGGCUUGAGACAUUUGCAGUGAUGAUUUUAUUUUCUUUGAUACUUCAUUAGAGCUGAUACUUCUUUAGAACUGAGGCAUGGGGCAUGUGCAGUGAUGAAUUUUUAUUCCUAUUUUCCUCUUGAGUGCAAUGCAUAUUGAUGACAUAGGCCAGAUGACACAUGCAAUGAUGUUUCGCCAACUAUGUUGUUACUGUUUCUGAGUGGGGGUGUGGCAAUUGGAAAUAGGAAUGGCUGAGGAGAUGAAUGCUGAGAUCCUUGCUGCUGAUGAGCUUGUGUUCCCUGGUGGGGCUGUUGGGGCUGAUGGAGAUGAUGGGCCUGUUGGGGCUGUUGGGGUUGUUCCUGGUGUUGCUCAGCAGAGACCUGCUAUGAGGUGAACAUAUGUGAUGUCUGGAUUUAUUCUUCACCGCAUGUGCCAGCUGAUUUCAACUGGUGUUAGGAAUGAUAAAGGUUGCAAAGAAGUCCACCUCAAUCAGGUUGCCAAGGCUCUGCAUGAGUUCAGUGGCAAUGAAGUCACUAGCACACAGGUGUAUAAUCACUUGAGGAAGUGGAGGCAGAGGUGGGUUAAAAUCUCAAAGCUGAGAGAGCUGAGUGGAGCCUUGUGGGAUGGGGACAGCUCCAUGAUUGUCCUUGAGGAGGAGCACUACAAUGGCCACAUCAAGGUAUGUAGUAAUGUUGCUGUUUUUUUUAUUCAAUGUUCAUCAGUUUAAGUAUCUAACUUCAAUUGUUCUAAUGCAGGCACACCCCAAAGAUGCUGAGUACCUCAACAAGCCAAUUGUGUACUACCAGGAGAUGAUGGUCAUCUUUGGUAAUGGUCAGGCAACAGGUAAGUAUGCUAUGGGGUCAAAUGAGACUCUUGGUAGUCCUUCUGACUUUGCCUACAACCCAAUGAAGCAUGACCUACCUGAGGAGCUUAGGAGUGGCAAGCCUGAGGCAGCUUAUGUUUCCAAGUCAGAACCACCUGUUGGAAGCAAGAGAAAGAGGUCCAUGCUGUCAGAUGAUGAUGUCCUUGUGUUCACUAGCAUGACUGAUGCAGUGAACAAUGUUGCAGAUGCUAUACGUUCUACCAAGGUUGAGGAUUCCCACCCUGACUUGUAUGGUGCACUGAUGUACAUGCCAGGGUUCUGCGAGGAAGCUCUAAUGCUUGCAUAUGGUCACCUGCUUAACAAUAAGGCCCAGGGAUCUACUUUUGUGCAGAUGUCUCACACCAUGUUCUUUGGCUGAGUACCUACUUGGCCAAAAACAACUACAUGUGAGUGGCUGGGCUUGGUUGGGCAGUGAUUCUUUUGGACGACCUGGUGCAGUUGUGGCUUCUUUUGUGCAUACCUAUUGCCUGAUCUGAUGGUCUUUUGUGCAGCUGACAACUUGAUGCAUUCUUUUGGGAUGGGGACUUGAUCCUGUCUCCUGACUAUAUGGCUAACUGUAGCAUAUAGUUGCCUGACUUAGAUUGGCCUACUGUGAAGUCAUCUUAUUCUAUCUGAGUGAGAUAUUAAACUGAGCAUGUGUCUAUUGUGCCUAUUUUGUCUGUUGUGCCUAUUGUGUUUUAAUCUGAGCAGAUGUCCAUGCCAAUGAUGAUAUGCUUCUUGUUGAUCCUUUCUAUCCAUGCCAAUGAUGAUAUGCUGUUCAUAUGGUUCUUCUUGAUCCUUUCUGUCUAUGCCAAUGAUGAUAUGCUGUUCAUAUGGUUCUUCUUGAUCCUUUCUGUUAAGGUAUUGUAUGUUGUUGUGCCUACUUCCUGCCUGUUUCAUAACUUGCCUGUGCCUGAUCCUGUCUGUUUCAUGAUGUACUUGCUGUCUGGUCUCUUCUUGAUCCUUUAUGUCUGUCUGAUGAAAGAGUUCCUGAUAUGCUUCCUGUGGACCUUUGUAACCUUAUAAUGCCAUCCUUUGUAACCUUCAUAUGAAAUGCAUGUUUAUAUUUAUAUAUGUCACUAAUGUUUCAUGAAUUGUAAACAUCUAUGGCCUGGUAUGUUGUUCAUGUUGGCCGACAACCUGGAGUUUACUCCAAUUGGGUUGAUGCCCAUGCUCAGGUUAGUGGCUACAAGGGGGCCUGCCACAAGAAGUACAAGUCAAGUGAAGAAGCAUUUGCAGCCUUCUACGAUCUUCAAAACAAAGAGGUCAAGCCAACUGCCUCACAUGACCCUCCUACGAUGGAAUUAUGGAAUGUUAAAGAUGUAAUUAUAGUUGUUCAAUUUGUAAUCAUUGCUUUUUUGGUUUACAAGUUGUUGUAAUGUCGAUCAUGUUUGCAACUAUCAUUGUACUUAUGGUUACCUCCUUGUGCUGAACAAGGUAGUGGUAUUCUUACCACUGCAUGCAGGGGGUAACAUCAUACAAUUGCAUGCGACUAACCAAACACCGUUCCCUACAUCUAUUCUUUCAAAUUUUGAGUACAUUCAGGCAACCAAACAGCGUAUCCGCGGAGCCUGGCUCAUUGCAUGCACUCAACCAAACAAGUCGGCCUUGCAUGCGCGCGACUUGGCUUAGUGGAGCCUGGCUGGCUGGUACGAGCUAGGCUAACCUCCUCCAGGACACCAAAAAUGCCCUACAACUCCCGAACCAUACGUCGCGUCGAUAGUUUUUCUAAUCCAAAAUCGAUUCUACAUUGGAGCUGGCCUUAUACUAUAAGAGUACGAAUAAAUCAUGAGUAAUGUAUGGAUAGCAUCUGUGAGGAAAAGACAGCUCCCAUAGUAUUUCACUUAAAAGAUUUUAACCGGAGUCUGAUUGAGAAAGGUCACGCUCAUACAUGGAGAUGCCACUUCUUGUGGUUCGGGUCUGGACAUGUGUUAUAAGGCCCAAUCCACGAUCAACCCCGUAUAUGAGAGCUUGCUCUUCAUGUGUAUAUUUAGUCGUAUCGAUCGAUGGAACCAGCAAUUGACCUUUUCUACUCAACCCGUUCCCAUGGGGGAUCUACCUAUGUUGAAGCACUAAAGGUAGUAGACGAUUCUUUUGUUCUUAUUGCAGAUUAUAUUUACGCAGAAUCAAAGGAGCUCUCUAGAAGGUUAAAAAGUUGCCCGUUGAUCUCUCCAAAUGUUAAAAAAUCACUGUUUACAUAGCACUGAAUGCGGAUCUCUAUGGAUGCACGCUGCACCUAGUAAACAAAUAGCCCAAGACUAGGGGAAAAAAUAUCUUGCACUGCUCACAUUAUGCACCUUUGCGAUAAUUUCCCUAAAGUCACCCCGUUUGCAUGGGAUUACAGUGUCUAUGGUUGCUAGCUCUUGUGAAAAAGUCCUUGAAGUCGCCCCAUUUACAUACACUACUAGAAAAAGUGGUUCUAGUACCGGUUUCCAACCCCCAGUACCGGUUGUGCAACCGGUAAUAGCAAUCCGGUACUAGAGGGGGUCCUCUAGUACCGGUUGGAAUAACCGGUACUAGAGGGUGUUAAAAAAUUAAAAAAAUCCCCCUACCGGCCCUGGCUCCUGCCGCCACCGUCCCCCGCUGGCCCCGACCUCCCUCCACCCGCCGCCAGCCUCCUCCGUCUCCCUCCGCCUGCCUCCAGCCCCCUCCACCUCCUCCUCCCCCUCCUCAGCCUGCCGGCCCCCUCCUCUUCCUCCUCCUUCUCCUUCCCCUCCUCCGCCCGCCGCCGGCCCCCUUUGCCUCCUCCUCCUCCACCUCGUUUGCCCGCCACUGGCCCCCUCCGCCUUCUCCUCUGCCCGCUGCCCGCCGUAUCCACUCGCCCCCACCCUCCCGUCACCGCCGCCAUCCUGUAGAUCCGUUGCCGCUGCCGCCAUCCUGCUGCCACCGCCUGUCCGCGCCGCCGCCUCACCUCGCCCCGCCGCUGCUCCUCUUUGCCGGUGAGGGCGAGCGGAGUGGGAAGGGGAGGGGAGGUAGAGGGGGCGGGCAGAGUGAGAGAGGGAGGGAGAGAGGAAGGGAGAGAGGAGGGGUGCCAGAGUGAGCUGGGAGAGGGAGCAGGCUAGGACGUAGGGAGUGAGAAGGAGAACAUAAGGACCAAAGAGGAGGGGCGUCGGAGUGAGAAGGAGCCUAGGCGAUGGAGGGUUGCGCCUCGAGGGAAAAAAAAGGAGAAAUAAAUUGCGCGGAUGGAGGGAGGGCCUCCAUCCGGUACUAAAUCCUUUAGUACCGGGUGGAGACUCCAACCGGUACUAUAGGGUGACCUCUAGUACCGGAUGGAGCCCCCACCCGGUACUAGAGGACCUUCGGGGGAUCCCAAACUUGGAUCCGGUACUAAUGCUAACAUUAGUACCAGGUCCAAAAAUGAUCGGUACUAAUGCUAAGGAUGAGAGGUCAUUUUUCUCGUAGUAAUAGGACUAUGAGUGUCUAGUAUGCAAGCUACAUCUAGUAUAUAAAUAGGGAGAAACAAGGAAAAAAGGAGUCUCCCACUGCCCACUUAUUAUUUGUAUGCCCUGCUUUAUGGUUUAACUUGUUUCCGAAGAUGGUGGAGAGUUCUCUACAAUUACAGUAAAAUAAGCAUCUUUUUUCUCACUAUUAGCAUUUCACAUUUAACAUAUUGCCUACCAAAAUCCACUACUGCAAAGCAUCUCAUUCGUGUCGAAGCGAAAACCUCAUUCGUACUGGUGAAUGAAACGGGAACACGAAGAUGGUCCGAAUGCGAACGGUUAUUAGUGCCGGCUACGCCGGUACGAAUAGCAAAUUAUGCCUACCGGUGGAAAAUUGCACCGGUACAGAUAGUAAAUAUAGUAACUUACAAAUGAAAAUAGCAAAAACAUUUUUUCUAGGCCUUGAGGCCACCCUGAGCUACCCCUCAUGGUCGCUGGUCACAAGUCAUGUGUAUUUCACGCGAAAUAUGCGUGCAUGCGGUGUCCAACCUUCGAACUCAACACAAUACCUUCUUAUCAUUCCACCUACACCACAUACCUGCACACAAAGAGAAGUUUUAUUCGUUUAACCCUUGUUGUCUAACAUUUUUAUCUAUUAUUUGAGCAUCUAAAUGACUUCAAAUAAAAAAAAUUAACUACAAAGUUGUACGCAAAUUAUGGAUCUGCAGAUACAAGCUGAAAUUCGAAUUGCAUAGGCUGGAAAUUUAUUUGUGUCACCGCAAUCUCGAGCCGGCACGAAUAAUCAUGAAAGUAUUCAUGCCGGCAUGCCAGUGUAAUUUUGAGCGGCACAUUUAAUAGAUUAUUCGUGCCAGCUCAAAAUUACAUCGGCACAAAUAAGAGAGCCAGCAUGGAUAAUUCAUUAGUUGUGCCAGCUCGCUACGUACAACUUAUUCAUGUUGGCUCAUUUAUACUCGGCACGGAUGAGCUGAUACGAUGAGUGUUUCUCUAGUAGUGAGUUUUAUUAAUCAUUUGUUGUAUCAUGUAUGAAAGCAUUUCCAAAGAUUAGUAAAACAAUAUAAAAUGUCCAAGAGUCCAAAAGUUAUUUUACACUAGGGAUCAUUUAUACUCCCUUAGUCCUAGAAUAUAGCUACAUUUAGACUUUUUCAAAGCCAAAUCUUCUCAACUAUGACUGUGGAUAGAGAAAUAAUCAUAGAGAUUAAUAACAUAAAAAUAAUAUUAGUUGAUUUAUCAUGAAACCAACUAUUAUAAUAUGUAACCUUUUCUAUUUGAAAUAAAUUAGAGAUAUUUUUGGUCAAAGGUAAAAAGAUUUGACUUUUGAAAAAGCUAAACGUAGCUAUAUUUUGGGACGGAGGGAGUAGUGGUUUAUAGGCUCCAACGUUCAAUUUCUCACCCAUCCAAUUUUGAGAUUAUGACUUAUGUAUAUUAGAUCUAAUAAUUCUGCACCGUCCAAUGUUUAUUACACCAUCAUCACUAAAAGAUUAGAUGUAAAGUAUCCAUAAUUCCAAUAAAACUAAUCAAGGUACAAAUAAAAAUUCAGGUGUUAGAAUGUAUUAAAACAUGUAAAUCCGUGUCUCAAGACUUGCUAAUACCUAAAGCACAUAAUUUUGACACAAUCCGAUGCAUAAAAAUUUAGAUGUUGAAACCCUAUGAACAAUCAGAUGAGAUUUAGGAAUUUUCAUCUAUUAUAUUUCUUUUCAAUAAAAGGACCAUAUUGAUUCUUGUAUAAAACAGACGUUAUAUGCAUAUAUAAAUGAUCUCUCAUUCUUUUCUUAAGGGUGUAAAAAUUUGUAUAUAGAGAUUGAUGUGUUGUUUUAUUGGAUAUUGACCCAUUAAAUGAUAAAGAACAAUUGAAAAAUACAGGAAAUAAUACAAUCAUAAAACAAAUAUAAGUUUAAUGCAUACGUUCCGAAUGGAACCUAAGGUUGGUAUAUAUAGUAGAGUAGACUAAAUGUACAUCUCAAAUGGCAAACUGCAUUAGAAAAAUUAUAGCAUCUCCAAGAUGUACUAUACACCAACACUAAAUAUUUCAUAUGUACAAUUAAAAUACAAGUCUAAAUUGUAGAUGUUAAGUUUCGAUCAAGCUAGGUACAACUAUUAAAGAGAUGACGGGAGAUUGCACGUUUUAUUUGUGCCUAAUCAUGUGACAGCAUUGUGACCGCACGCACUCGUGUAGGUCACUAUCCCACUACAGUAGUGUAGACAAAAAUUUAAAUGCACAUCUCAAAUCGGAACUGUUCAAUUGUCCAUUAGGAUCCAUAGAGCUCUCAGCCUUUUGAAAAUGUACAACUCCGGUACUUUAUGGUUUCACAAGUACAUUUGAAAUACACAAAUGUGAUGUGAUGAUCCCAUACGUGCUCAACCAAUAUCCACGCGCCUAUAUAAAGGGUUUCCUACUAACACUGACCGCCACCAAUCCUAGCCCACGUACCUAGCCAUUUGAUCGAUCACUACUCAAAAUGGCUGCCAAGCUGAGUAACCUCAAGUGGCCUCCUCUCGUUGCCCUGCUUGUCCUCCUCGCCGGCAUGGUUGGCAUCACCUUUGCCGGCAACAUGGCCAUGUACUGGGGCCAGAACGGCGAUGCGGCCACCAUGGCCGACGUCUGCAACUCCGGCCUCUACACCUUUGUCCUCCUCCCGCGCCUCAACACCACCGGCAUCCUUCGGGCCAAUCGCACCGACCUCAGCGCCGACAUCCAGGCCUGCCAAUCGCUGGACGUCAAAGUGCUCCUAUCCGUCGGCGGCGGCAGCUCCUCCGCCAUCAGCGUCCAGGCUCAGACCGUGGACAGUAAGUACCUGUGGCACAACUUCCUGGGCGGCAACUCAUCGUCCCGCCCGCUCGGCAACGCCGUCCUGGACGGCAUCAACUUCGACACCGAGACUGGCGACGUUGCGCGCUAUGAAGCGCUGGCCAACUCCCUGUCACAGCUCAGUGCCCAAGGCCAUGGCCGGAAGCUGUACCUGACGGCGGCGCCACAACGUCCGUACCCAGCUGCUGUCAAGAUAGCUAACCUGCACAACUUUCCUGAGAGCUCUUUGUAUGUCUAUCGCCAGACGAACUACAAUGCAAACCAGCAUGAUCCUUCACAAUUUGGGUUUGCGACAAGGCUGGAGAAGGGGUACUAGGCAUAUACACGAUGUUGGAGACAGGUACACUUGGUUAUGAUCGAAUGAACUGUGUGAUCGAUAUAUAUACUAUCAUAUAGAUAAAAAAGGGACAACUGAAUAACGUCGUUGAGUCGCUAUGAACUCAGAACGAUCUUAUAUAUAUAAUUAGCUUAUAGCAAAUGUACACCAUGUAUAACAUGAGACCAAAUAAAUGAAUAAUACAAUAUUACGACUUUAGAAGUGUGGAUUCAGUUAUAGCUGCUCUUCUUCUCGUCUUCUGAAAAGCUACGACACAAUAAUAUGACUAAGAAUUUUAGCAAGGGCGGAGAUACAUGGAACCAUGUAGGCUACAGAGAGCCAUGGCCCUCACUAGUCACUACUUGAAAAACCUGAGUUGGUUGUGCUGGUUAUUAUGGUGAUUGAGCGUAGGUUGUACAUUUGUGUUAAUUUCUUCUCUUGGGCGGAAGCUAGGACAUGAAUAAUUUGUUUGAAAACCGUGGCAAAGCACGGGUUAUCCGACUAGUACACAAACAAGCUCGUGCAUCUUUCAGAUGGCGCCAUCCUAUAUUCUGCAGAAGCUCUAACACUGCUAUCUAGAAAUUCUUGCUCUAAAAACAAGUUAUAGCAUCGCUCAUAAACUGUCUUCACGACUUGCAUUAUUGCCAAAACAAAAAAAAAAGAACUUGGCCCGGGGCAGUGGCGUAGGCAAAACUAAGCAGUAGCUCGAGGAUUAAGGUUAGAGAUUGUUAACACAACGUUCUGUUUGUUAUGUACAUGUAGCACGCACACAGUCGGUGCUUUGUAUGUGCAUAUAUACUUCACAAGUCAAUACAGAUGGCUGUUGAGUUAGCUCACAUCCCUCCUUCUCUCUCGUUCAGAGAUUUUAGAAACAAAAACAAAUAACCAAUUUGACAAGAGGACAAUGUCCUCACACCAAUACGUGCCACAAAUCAUAUGGGCUGUGAAUGGGCCACAAAUCUCCAGCGUAGCAAGCCGAAAAGGUCAAAUGAGCCAGUUUCACACCCGCCCACCCACAGCCACAGGGGCAGAUGGCUAUCUAUUGUGUACGUGACAUAUAGCCAUCCGCCGUCGAGCCAUCACUAUAUUUUAUGAGCUAGCUGAAUUUUCAUGAAAAACAAGUAGUAGAAUUGUAGAAAUAAAUAAAGAGAGGUACAUCGAACUCCAACUGUUCCAUGCAAGUAUAGAUUGCCAAAUAGGUGGCUCGGCACUAGCAACCCGAUUUGGCCUGGCACUAUAUAGUCUAACCGUGCCGGACCGGGCUAGCACUGUGUGCCAAACUGCUAACCCAAGCCCAGCCCUAUCACCUUUUUAUCGUGCCGGGCCAGCACGUAGGCAUGGCAGGCACUAUCGUGCUAGUGCCGGCCCAAGAACUACAAGCAAGAGAGCAAGAGAGGAGCAAUCCGAACCAAGAUGCAAAGAUAAAGGAAUCCAUCACAAAGAAUCACUAAAGUUCACGAAUCCAUCAUCACAUACACACAAAUCAAAUCCAUAACUCAAAAACCACAAAAAAAAUGAAUCCCACCGAGUGUCCCAUCGGCAGCGGCGGUCGGCGUGCCUCCCGGCUGCACCCUAUGGCGAAGGGGCCUGCCUACCUCGCGGCCGCGCCCUACGGCGGCAGCGGUCAGCGCACCUCCCGGCCGUGCCCACGGCGGCGGCGGCGACGUACUCGCUUCCCGAGCAUGGCCCAUGGCAAAGGCGGCCGUUGCGCAUCCCGGACGCGCCCCCACAGUGGUGCUGCCUGACGCGCCUCCUGUUGAUGGCAUGAGUAGGGGAGGGAGAGUAGGUAGCCAGGGAAGGGAGGGGGGUGGCUGUAG
Molecule: long non-coding RNA, 17592 nt
Filed under: Setaria italica (foxtail millet)
Lineage: Eukaryota; Viridiplantae; Streptophyta; Magnoliopsida; Poales; Poaceae
Description: long non-coding RNA (SITA_LNC003875)
Source: RNAcentral